CAAAGGUAGCAUAAUCAUUAGGGGUUUAAUUGGAACCUGGUAUGAAGGGUUGGACAAAGGAAAAACUGUCUUUCUGAUAUAAGUUGAAAUUUACUUUUAAGUGAAAAGGCUUAAAUUAAUCAAAGGGACGAUAAGACCCUAUAAAGCUUUAUAAAUAAUUUAAAUUUAAUUGAUUUAUUAAUUAAAGGUUGAAUUUAACUAUUUUAUUUUGUUGGGGUGAUGUGAGUAUAAGUUAUAUUAACUGCUUAAAAGAAAUUCUAUCAUAAAAGAGUCUAUAGUGUAGAUGAUCCUUUAUAAAGAUUAAAAGACUAAGUUACUUUAGGGGUAACAGCGUUAUUUCUUUUGAGAGUUCAUAUCGAAAAAGAAGAUUGCGACCUCGAUGUUGAAUUAAAAUGUCUAUAUAAUGCAGUCGUUAUAAGAGAGGGUCUGUUCGACCUUUAAAGUUUUACAUGAUUUGAGUUCA
RNAcentral lists this ribosomal RNA (463 nucleotides) under Atergatis floridus. RNAcentral describes it as "partial 16S ribosomal RNA". The stretch from base 326 to 463 matches the Rfam family "Bacterial large subunit ribosomal RNA", at positions 2475 to 2613 of the family's 2925-position model. The record is from RNAcentral. Lineage: Eukaryota; Metazoa; Arthropoda; Malacostraca; Decapoda; Xanthidae.